CAGGCUUAAUACAUGCAAGUCGUGGGGCAGCAUGAGUAGCAAUACUUGAUGGCGACCGGCAAACGGGUGAGGAACACGUACACAACUUCCUUCAAGCGGGGAAUAGCCCAGAGAAAUUUGGAUUAAUACCCCAUAAUAUAUUUGAUAAGGCAUCUUAUUAAUAUUAAAGCUUCGGCACUUGAUGAUGGGUGUGCGGCUGAUUAGAUAGUUGGCGGGGUAACGGCCCACCAAGUCUACGAUCAGUAGCUGAUGUGAGAGCAUGAUCAGCCACACGGGCACUGAGACACGGGCCCGACUCCUACGGGAGGCAGCAGUAAGGAAUAUUGGACAAUGGACGAAAGUCUGAUCCAGCCAUGCCGCGUGAAGGAUUAAGGUCCUCUGGAUUGUAAACUUCUUUUAUAUGGGACGAAAAAAGGGCAUUCUUGUUCACUUGACGGUACCAUAUGAAUAAGCACCGGCUAACUCCGUG
This 469-nucleotide ribosomal RNA is filed under the name uncultured bacterium. RNAcentral's name for it is "bacterial SSU rRNA". It matches the Rfam family "Bacterial small subunit ribosomal RNA", at positions 43 to 507 of the family's 1533-position model. The record is from RNAcentral.